AUUAACUGUAUCACUUGGUGUGUUUGUUUGGGUGAAAGUGAGGGGGAAGUGGAGAUGGGGGAAGUUGUUUACGCUGUAAACUAUCACUUUCGUUGUUUGUUUUGCCGUAAUUUUAUUAUGGCCGAAAGUCGAGUUCACCCAAAAUAGGGUAAUUGACUUUGCCCUUCCACGGGACAAAGUCAAUUCUGGUGAAGUGCAAAGAGGCAAGGGAACUUGUUAAAUUUAGUUAGGUAAUAUGAUCAAAUUUGGUUAGGUAAGUUUUAAUAUAUUUUUUGUCUAAUCUGUAUAUUUAGAAAAUAAUAAAAAAUAAAUUUGUUAAAUGUUAAUAAUUUUUUAACUUUAGAAUUUUAUUUGUUGCAUUAUUAUAAUUUAUAUACAAACAAAUAAUGUAAUUUUUUAAAUUUUUAUUUUAUAAUUAUACAUAUAUAUAAUUAUAUUAAUUUUUAUUUAUUAUAAUUUAUUAUUGACUAAGUUACAAAAUAGACAAUGAUAUCACUUCGGAGGUAAGUAUACCAGGGGUGGAGAACUAUAUUUUUUACGUCAUCUACUUCCUACCAAACAAACAACAGAACUUGCAGAACUGCACUUCCACAGUUAGAAACAAACAGCGGAAGUAAAUUAAUUUUCACUCCAACUCCACUUCAAUCUAAAGUCCACUUCCACCCCAAAUCUACUUACGUUGAAACAAACAAGCCCUAAUAGUCGAUCGAAUUUACAAGAGCCACCAACUAGCUAGCGUACACCAUAGUAUUAAUCAAAAUAGUCAAAAAUAUAUCUUUAAAGGCUCCGUUUGGUUCGGGGGAUAAGUGGGGAUAACGAAAGUUAUCCCCACUAUUCUGUCAAACGGGCUGAUUGUUUACCGAGAUAUUUUAUCCUGGUCAAACUUUGCUAUUCCCGAUUAUUUCGAAAUAGCAAGGGAUUUGCUAUUCCACUAUUUGGUGGAAUAGUGCUAUUCCAAUGCUUAAUUUCAUACUUAAUUAAAAUAAUAAAUUGAAUUAAAACUAAAUUAUAUAAAUAUUAUAUGUUAUAUAUUAUAAUACAUUAUUUUUAUUAUAAAAUUAUUAAUUGUACUAUAUUAAUACAUAUUAUUUAUAUUUAAAUAUUAUAAUAAAUUUUUUUUAUUAAAUUUAAGUUUAAGUAGAAUUUUUAAAAAAAUUAUACAUUUAUUAUAAUAAAUUAAUUUUAUUAAUUGUUCCCACUCCUAUUCUUAUUUUAAAAAAUUAAAAAUUAAAAAUUUAAAUUUUUAAAAUUUAUAAUUUAUAAUCUCAAAAUUAAAGUUUAUAAUUGUAAGGAAGUGAAUUCUCGAAAUCCGAGAGUUCUAUUUCGUCCAGGAUCGACUAUUUGUUGAGAGAAUACCUUUUAGGAAAGUUAGAGAUGUCCAAAGCACAAAGAGUGCCUUGGAGUUGAGUCCACGAGAGCAAAUGGNUUAUCCUUUUUAUUCCAUCUUAUCUAACCAAACGCUAUUUUUUUUAUUCCCAGAAAUAAUCCAAUUUUUAUCAAAUGCAAAAUUGAUCUAAUCCCUGCUUAUAGCUCAAUUUAUACAUAUUCCUGGAAUAGUCAUUUUUUGCUUAUCUCCGAAACAAACGAUACCAAAGAGUUUACUCUAACAC
This 1610-nucleotide long non-coding RNA is filed under the name Ananas comosus (pineapple). RNAcentral describes it as "long non-coding RNA (ACOM_LNC002789)". The record is from RNAcentral. Lineage: Eukaryota; Viridiplantae; Streptophyta; Magnoliopsida; Poales; Bromeliaceae.